AAUUGUUUUGUGUUGUAAUAAUAUAUUUCAUAAACAACGUACCAUAUUUACACACGUGUAUGUUGAAUUAUGCAGACUAUCGUUUUUAUCUAUGUUUAUUUAGACGUGUUUACAAACUUGCUAAGCUGUUCCAGCUAAACUGUUACCGGUAAAGUUUGUUCUCAUGAUCAAACUCAAGAAACUCUAAGUACAGAUGAUUUGUUUAACGUUAUAUGUAUUUUACUUUUUACUUGAAGCUUUCUUAGAUUUUGAAACGAAGUAAACACGUAAUGUGUGUUGCUAAUGUUGGGCCAUGUAAUACAUUAACGUUUUAAUGAAUAGUCUAACGAUUUAUAAUCGUUGUACUCUAUUAUUAUAAUAUGUCUUUUUGACUGAAUACAUGUUUGUUUUAUUUGUCUAUAUCCUAGAUUCGCAGCUGGACACAUCCUUCUACACUGUACGCAAAAACAUGCAACAUCAUUACACACAGUAUAAGGAGUCAGACUGGCAUAUGAGGAGCAAAGGAACCCAGGCAGUAGCAUCGUUUCACAAUGUUUCAAUCACCAUCAUCAGUGGAUGCCUUUGCCGUCCGUACCCUGAGAUUUCAGAUUUGCAGCAAAAAAUUUGACUUUCCCAUUUAUUGGAAUGCUGUGCAGGUUGUACCUUGCAGCCAUCCAUUACAAUGUCACCAAGCCGUAACAAAAGCAGGAGAGGGAAAGUACAAGGCUAUGUUCCCAAAACACACAAGUGACAUACUUUAUGUGGAUGAUGUGAUCAGGCUUGUGUUUGAUGAGGUAUUUGAAGAUAAGCUGAAGGAAACCCCGAUUCCAAUGGACCUGGCAUCACAGUUUGAGAGACCUUCAAAUGAGGACGUGAUUGCAUGCCAUCUUCAGUGUAGGGGUCGUCGGAAGCCAACAUUCCGAUCAGGAAGCUCCAAGCAUAUCUGGAGAACAACACACGACAGGAUGAUAACCUUAUAGUGUCGUCUUAAAUAGCACCAGCUGACAAAGCUUUGAUAUGCCAUUUAUCUGAAUAGAUAGCUGUAAGAAGUGAAUUGAACAAUUUUUGAAAGAAGAGCACAAUAUGGUUACUAAAGUAUGUUUAUUUGUAUAUUGUUUAACAUUUAAAUAUAUAUUUGUAAUAAAUAAAUAAACUUUUGACUGACUAC
This is a non-coding RNA of Misgurnus anguillicaudatus (oriental weatherfish), 1147 nucleotides long. NCBI's taxonomy places the organism in Eukaryota, Metazoa, Chordata, Actinopteri, Cypriniformes, Cobitidae. The record is from RefSeq and is a predicted model, not a curated record.